Molecule: ribosomal RNA, 275 nt
Filed under: uncultured Glomus
Lineage: Eukaryota; Fungi; Glomeromycota; Glomeromycetes; Glomerales; Glomeraceae
Description: partial 18S ribosomal RNA
Rfam family: Eukaryotic small subunit ribosomal RNA
Source: RNAcentral
UUGGAGGGCAAGCUGGUGCCAGCAGCCGCGGUAAUUCCAGCUCCAAUAGCGUAUAUUAAAGUUGUUGCAGUUAAAAAGCUCGUAGUUGAAUUUCGGGAUUAGUACGUCGGUCGUGCCUUAGGUACGUACUGGUGUUACUGGUUCCUACCUUCUGACGAACCAUCAUGUCAUUAAUUUGGUGUGGUGGGGAAUCAGGACUGUUACUUUGAAAAAAUUAGAGUGUUUAAAGCAGGCUCGCGCUUGAAUACAUUAGCAUGGAAUAAUGAAAUAGGACG